Molecule: ribosomal RNA, 694 nt
Filed under: uncultured bacterium
Lineage: Bacteria
Description: bacterial SSU rRNA
Rfam family: Bacterial small subunit ribosomal RNA
Source: RNAcentral
UAGUUUGAUCCUGGCUCAGGAUCAACGCUGGCGGUGUGCCUAACGCAUGUAAGUCGAACGCAGCCCUUUCGAGGGCUGAGUGGCGAACGGCUGAGGAACACGUACGAACCUGCCCUCACGUGGGGAAUAACGCCGCGAAAGCGGUGCUAAUACCGCGUACGCUGGGAUUUCGGUCUCAGGAAAGCCACAAGGCGCGGGAGGAGGGGCGUGCGGCCCAUCAGGUCGUUGGUGGGGUAAUGGCCUACCAAGCCUUUGACGGGUAGCUGGUCUGUGAGGACGAUCAGCCAGACUGGGACUGCGAAACGGCCCAGACACCUACGGGUGGCAGCAGCGAGGAAUCUUCCACAAUGGGCACAAGCCCGAUGGAGCAACGCCGCGUGGAGGACGACGGCCUUCGGGUUGUAAACUCCUUUCGGGGGGGAGGAUACGGACAGUACCCCCAGAAGCAGCCCCGGCUAACUCUGUGCCAGCAGCCGCGGUAAUACAGAGGGGGCAAGCGUUGUCCGGAAUUACUGGGCGUAAAGCGCGCGCAGGCGGUGGCUGAUGUGCCGUGUGACAGGCGGGGGCUCAACCCCCGGUUCGCAGGGUAGACAGGGUCACUGGAGGCAGGGAGAGGGAUGUGGAAUGCCCGGUGGAGCGGUGAAAUGCGUAGAGAUCGGGCGGAACACCAGCGGCGAAAGCGGCAUCCUGGCCC